This 496-nucleotide ribosomal RNA is filed under the name uncultured bacterium. Its description in RNAcentral is "partial 16S ribosomal RNA". It matches the Rfam family "Bacterial small subunit ribosomal RNA", at positions 28 to 507 of the family's 1533-position model. The record is from RNAcentral.
GAUGAACGCUGGCGGCGUGCCUAAUACAUGCAAGUCGAGCGAACGGACGAGAAGCUUGCUUUUCUGAUGUUAGCGGCGGACGGGUGAGUAACACGUGGAUAACCUACCUAUAAGACUGGGAUAACUUCGGGAAACCGGAGCUAAUACCGGAUAAUAUUUUGAACCGCAUGGUUCAAAAGUGAAAGACGGUCCUGCUGUCACUUAUAGAUGGAUCCGCGCUGCAUUAGCUAGUUGGUAAGGUAACGGCUUACCAGGGCAACGAUGCAUAGCCGACCUGAGAGGGUGAUCGGCCACACUGGAACUGAGACACGGUCCAGACUCCUACGGAGGCAGCAGUAGGGAAUCUUCCGCAAUGGGCGAAAGCCUGACGGAGCAACGCCGCGUGAGUGAUGAAGGUCUUCGGAUCGUAAAACUCUGUUAUUAGGGAAGAACAUAUGUGUAAGUAACUGUGCACAUCUUGACGGUACCUAAUCAGAAAGCCACGGCUAACUACGUG